GACAGUUAACCCUUUUGCAGCGCUAACUCAUGUCUCCUGUUUCUCACAGAUCGCCUUAUGCUCUGGAUCACUCUCCAGACGCUCUUCCAAGUUCUGAAGUCUCAAGUCAAGUCCCUGGAUCCUCAUCGCUCAGAUUCUGCUCUGGCACUUGUUCAGCAUUUUUAACACACUCCUCUCGAGCCCACUUGAUGUUACCAAGCCGGACAAGAGUUCCCCUCUGGAUUCUCCCUGGUUCCUUCAGCUGCUCACUGGCCGCUGCUUCCAGAUGCGGUGCUGCUUGGACUCCCCGCCUCCAUUCCAUCAACCCGCUCACCUGUCACUCAGUCACCUAGUUCCACCUAAGAGAAGAGCUCCUCUGAAUCCAUUCUUCUGCUCCACUCUCCCCGGCUAGGUUACCUGAACCCAGCGGUAAGCCCACCUAAUUUUUGGCUGGUUGUCCCUCUCUGCCCGGUGUAAUCUAUUUCCAUUUUUUCCGCAGAGCUAUCAGUUCCGGAAUCCCGUUUCUGUCGGCCGCUCACUCUGAGCAUCUCUCUGCGUUUCUUCGUGCCUAAAUAAACAUCUUAAAACUG
Fundulus heteroclitus (mummichog) is the source of this 569-nucleotide long non-coding RNA. RefSeq lists it as uncharacterized. Lineage: Eukaryota; Metazoa; Chordata; Actinopteri; Cyprinodontiformes; Fundulidae. The record is from RefSeq and is a predicted model, not a curated record. The transcript is spliced from 2 exons.